UCUCACGAAUUCGUGAACCGCGAGCGCCGCCGCCGCUGACAAACUCCUUGACUCUCGUCUCCAGGUGCUAAACUCACUCACGCAUGGCUAGAACACACCUUCAAGCGUCUCCCAUCAGAGGAUAAUCCACUCCCCACUGCGUCAUCAUUCAGCGCCGGUUCUUCGAUCGACCUACGUCAAUCCAAGGACAUUGGUGACCAUUUAUCUUCAUUUGAGUUUAGAACUCUCAUGGAUUGUCUUAUAUGAUUGCAUCUGCAUUCAUACACAUCAAUGCAAAUUCAAGAUCUUUGGAUUCCUACGAAAUUAAGAAAGUCAUGGUCUGCGGCGCAUCAAAGUCAUUUUCAUGGGACUUCAUUUGUUUACCGAGGAGCCUUUGGGUCCGGCUGGCUUUGCAUCUCACUCACAUCACAUGAGCCACGUUCUCCGAAUUCAUAGUGACCACACUCCCUAUUUUAUACGGCAAUCAGUUGCCAUAGUUGACCUCCACUUGUGCUUAACCCCAGAUGGAGCAGUUGGAUGCAGAUAUUUGAUCGGCUCGUGUCUAGUGUACCAGGAGACAGGGUAACAUGGAUUUAAGGACACAUCGAUCGGAUCACCUGGCUGUACUACCACACUGGAUAUCAUAGCAUGUACCACUGGACUCCAAACUUGAUUUUUCUUUUCUGCGGCGAACUUCA
Molecule: long non-coding RNA, 677 nt
Organism: Triticum dicoccoides
Lineage: Eukaryota; Viridiplantae; Streptophyta; Magnoliopsida; Poales; Poaceae
Exons: 3
Source: RefSeq, a predicted model, not a curated record